Molecule: long non-coding RNA, 364 nt
Organism: Oncorhynchus nerka (sockeye salmon)
Lineage: Eukaryota; Metazoa; Chordata; Actinopteri; Salmoniformes; Salmonidae
Exons: 3
Source: RefSeq, a predicted model, not a curated record
CCCCUCCACCGAUGGGGACAUAUGGAUAUCAGGGGAACACUGGCAGUGUCCCCAAAGGAGUGAAUCCUUACUCUAUGAAAGCAGCAGGUCUAUGGGGCAGCAGAUACCCUACAAUGCAUUUGAAUGAUGGGACCAACUCAAAGCCUCCAAGCCAUGGGCCUGGACAGCUUACUAGACAGCUCUCUGGCUUGCUCCCUCCUUCACACUUUGACCUCAUGGCACCAAUGGUUGUGCCACCUGACAUUCUACCCUACUGAGGCCAAUUAACCAGAGUGGAUUUGCUAAACAUAGAUUUUUUCAGUGUUAAAAAACUUCAGCAUUAAAAAAUAUUAAAAGAUGAUUUUUUAAUUAAAUCUCUCCUUUG